AUGGUAUUGGCGGUAUGGUUGUGCUUGUACUCUACUUCCACGCAAAGGAUUACUGCUCCCAUGAACACCUCUGCUUUCUCCAGCCUAGGCAUCAGCCAGCCUCCUCAGGACCCUGGCCACAGGUGCGCCUUUCCUAUCGCCUCCUAUCUAUGGAAACUUAGUAGUUACUGCACUCAAUUUGAGAUGGAGCUGGGUUCUUCUGGGUCCAUCUCAGGUAAAUGAUCUGCACUAUGGCAUCUUGGAAACAUUCUUUGGUCAAAAGGAAACACUUCAGUGCUGUCAGUAGCAUAUAGCUCUCACCAGGACUGUGUCAGUAGCAUAUAGCUCUCACCAAAUUAAUGGAGAUUCCUCUCCAAGUUGAUCUUCUAUGGGUGGAGGAGCCCUUGAGCUCAACCUUCAUUGGAAAUGAGAAUAAGAAAUCAAUUAUUCCUUCAUUCAUUUGGAUGUCAUAAAAAGGACACAGACCAUGAGGUCAGGAAAACUUGGGUCUGAAGUUUCUCCCACAAGGUCCUGUUAUGGUUGCUAUUGCAUAACUUUUUCUGAGUUUCAUUUUCCAGCUUUAAAUUGGGAAUGGUACCUCCUAUACAGGAUGCUUCGUUGUGAAGGUCAAAUGGGAUAACGUUGGCCAGCUGCUUAGAAAUGGACCUGAACAGACUUGUGUUGCCAAGGGGGAGGGAGAAGGGAGUGGGAUGGAUGGGGAGUUUGGGGUUGUAGAUGCAAACUAUUACAUUCAGAAUGAAUAAGCAAUGAGGUUCUACUGUACAGCACAGGGGACCAUAUCCAGUCUCUUGGGAUAGAGCAUAUAGGAAGACAGUAUGAGAAAAAGAAUAUAUAUGUAUAUAUGACUUGGUCACUUUGCUGUACAGCAGAAAUUGGCACAACAUUGUAAUUAAAUAUACUUGAAUUAAAAAAAACUUUAUCAAAAAAGAGCAAUGGAUAUGAACAGGCAUGUCACCAACAUAUAUAUCUAUCUCUAUCUCUACAUCUACAUCUGUAUGCGUAUAUGUGUGUGUAUAGGCAUACCUCAGAUACAUUGUUUGUUCAGUUCCAGAUCGCUGCAAUAAAGAGAAUAUCUCAAUUAAAAAAUUGGUCUAG
This 1095-nucleotide long non-coding RNA is filed under the name Sus scrofa (pig). Its description in RNAcentral is "lncRNA (ENSSSCG00055004598.1)". The record is from RNAcentral. Lineage: Eukaryota; Metazoa; Chordata; Mammalia; Artiodactyla; Suidae.